AUUGAACGCUGGCGGCAGGCUUAACACAUGCAAGUCGAACGAGUGGCGGACGGGUGAGUAAUGUCUGGGAAACUGCCUGAUGGAGGGGGAUAACUACUGGAAACGGUAGCUCAUACCGCAUACCAUCGGAUGUGCCCAGAUGGGAUUAGCUAGUAGGUGGGGUAAUGGCUCACCUAGGCGACGAUCCCUAGCUGGUCUGAGAGGAUGACCAGCCACUCUGUAACUGAGGCACGGUCCAGACUCCUACGGGAGGCAGCAGUGGUGAAUAUUGCACAAUGGGCGCAAGCCUGAUGCAGCCAUGCCGCGUGUGUGAAGAGUGCCGUCGGGUUGUAAAGUACUUUCAGCGAGGAGGCGUUACCCGCAGAAGAAGCACCGGCUAACUCCGUUCCAGCAGCCGCGGUAAUUC
RNAcentral lists this ribosomal RNA (406 nucleotides) under uncultured bacterium. RNAcentral describes it as "partial 16S ribosomal RNA". It matches the Rfam family "Bacterial small subunit ribosomal RNA", at positions 30 to 526 of the family's 1533-position model. The record is from RNAcentral.